ACUCACCACCUUGAUCACCUCCACUUGCCCACAACUUGACCCUUCAUAUAAAUAUAAGAAAAACUUUAAAUACCACCCAUAUGAUUUCAUACUUUCUUACUUAGCAUUCUAUGGUUAAAGUGUAUCGAGUUAGUACCCCGUGCUUUUAUUUUUAUCUUCUUGUUAUCGAUUCUACUAAUUUUUUUGUUAUAUCAGUGACAAAGUUAAAACUAAAGGGUACUAAAAUGAAUAUUCAAUAAACCUAGGUAUGAUAUUUGAAGUUUUUUUGUAUAUAAUUUAAUGAAAUAUUAACGGAGGAGCUGACAAAAAGAUAAAAAUAAAAUCACAGAACAUUAACUUGAUACACUUUAAACCACAUGAUACUAAAGUGAGAAAGUGCGAAACUACAUGGAUGGUAUUUAAAGUUUACCCUAUAAUAU
Molecule: long non-coding RNA, 419 nt
Filed under: Ananas comosus (pineapple)
Lineage: Eukaryota; Viridiplantae; Streptophyta; Magnoliopsida; Poales; Bromeliaceae
Description: long non-coding RNA (ACOM_LNC007643)
Source: RNAcentral